Molecule: ribosomal RNA, 507 nt
Filed under: Triticum aestivum (bread wheat)
Lineage: Eukaryota; Viridiplantae; Streptophyta; Magnoliopsida; Poales; Poaceae
Description: partial small subunit ribosomal RNA
Source: RNAcentral
AUGAUGCUCGCUUGCUCACCCUGCUCGGUAUCUACCACCAUGCCAUCAUCAUUGUCAUGCUACCUCUGGCUCGCCAUUGGGAUGGAGUUCUCAUGUGGAGUUGUUUGGAUGUGCGUGCAGGUGCAAGAAAUUCAGGAAGUUGGGCAAAGUAGGGUCGUUCUGGAGGCCAUCACUGUUGCGCAUCGCCGACCGGGCCAAAAUCUUGUCAGAUUAUGCGUGGACGCUAGCAACCUCGAAGCAUGCUACCAUCUUGGAAAUUAUCUGAUCGUAUUUCUGGGGAGCCGGGAGGUAGGAGCAACGCUGAUGAUGACCGUGACGGUGGGUGACACCGCCGGGAGGCAAUGCACUCCCUGUGUGUCGUUCAAUUCAUUGGCAUUGGUGCCACCAAGGACGAUCACAACAAAUGAUAUUUUUCCUUUGAUUUUCUUUCUGACGGUGGUGGAUUGGUUGCUCCUUGGUGCGUGGAUUUUUAAAUGUAGGCUGCUGGUGAGGAAACAAAGUUGGUGA